RNAcentral lists this ribosomal RNA (469 nucleotides) under uncultured bacterium. Its description in RNAcentral is "partial 16S ribosomal RNA". It matches the Rfam family "Bacterial small subunit ribosomal RNA", at positions 28 to 507 of the family's 1533-position model. The record is from RNAcentral.
GACGAACGCUGGCGGCGUGCUUAACACAUGCAAGUCGAACGGAAAGGCCCUGCUUGUAGGGUGCUCGCGUGGCGAACGGGUGAGUAACACGCGGGUGAUCUGCCCCCUACUUUGGGAUAAGCCUGGGAAACAGGGUCGAAUACUGGAUAGGACCAUUCUUGAGGCGGGGUGGUGGAUAGAGAAGUUCCGGUCGGGGUUGAGCUCGCGGCCUAUCAGCUCGUUGGUGGGGUGCUGGCCGACCAAGGCGUCGACGGGUGGCCGGCCUGAGGGGGUGGGCGGCCACAUUGGGACUCCGAUGCGGCCCAGCCGCCUACGGGAGGCCGCAGUGGGGAAUAUUGCACCAUGGGGGCCCGCCGGAUGCAGCGACGCCGCGUGGGGGAUGACGGCCUUCGGGUUGUAAACUACAUUUGUCCAUGACGAAGCCCUUGUGGUGACGGUAGUGGUAGAAGAAGCACCGGCUAACUACGUG